GGGUUGUGAGGUUAAGCGACUAAGCGUACACGGUGGAUGCCGCAGUCAGAGGCGAUGAAGGGCGUGCUAAUCUGCGAUAAGCGCCGGUAAGGUGAUAUGAACCGUUAUAACCGGCGAUACCCGAAUGGGGAAACCCAGUGUGAUUCGUCACACUAUCAUUAACUGAAUCCAUAGGUUAAUGAGGCGAACCGGGGGAACUGAAACAUCUAAGUACCCCGAGGAAAAGAAAUCAACCGAGAUUCCCCAGUAGCGGCGGAGCCCAGAGCCUGAAUCAGCAUGUGUGUUAGUGGAAGCGUCUGGAAAGGCGCGCGAUACAGGGUGACAGCCCCGUACACAAAAGCGCAUGUGCUGUGAGCUCGAUGAGUAGGGCGGGACACGUGGUAUCCUGUCUGAAUAUGGGGGGACCAUCCUCCAAGGCUAAAUACUCCUGACUGACCGAUAGUGAACCAGUACCGUGAGGGAAAGGCGAAAAGAACCCCGGCGAGGGGAGUGAAAAAGAACCUGAAACCGUGUACGUACAAGCAGUGGGAGCACCCUUCGGGGUGUGACUGCGUACCUUAGUCUUAAUUGGGCGUUAAGUUGCAGGGUAUAGACCCGAAACCCGGUGAUCUAGCCAUGGGCAGGUUGAAGGUUGGGUAACACUAACUGGAGGACCGAACCGACUAAUGUUGAAAAAUUAGCGGAUGACCUGUGGCUGGGGGUGAAAGGCCAAUCAAACCGGGAGAUAGCUGGUUCUCCCCGAAAGCUAUUUAGGUAGCGCCUCGUGAAUUCAUCUCCGGGAUCCCGGCUUACCAACCCGAUGCAAACUGCGAAUACCGGAGAAUGUUAUCACGGGAGACACACGGCGGGUGCUAACGUCCGUCGUGAAGAGGGAAACAACCCAGACCGCCAGCUAAGGUCCCAAAGUCAUGGUUAAGUGGGAAACGAUGUGGGAAGGCCCAGACAGCCAGGAUGUUGGCUUAGAAGCAGCCAUCAUUUAAAGAAAGCGUAAUAGCUCACUGGUCGAGUCGGCCUGCGCGGAAGAUGUAACGGGGCUAAACCAUGCACCGAAGCUGCGGCAGCGACACUGUGUGUUGUUGGGUAGGGCUGUAAGCCUGCGAAGGUGGCCUGUGAGGGUUGCUGGAGGUAUCAGAAGUGCGAAUGCUGACAUAAGUAACGAUAAAGCGGGUGAAAAGCCCGCUCGCCGGAAGACCAAGGGUUCCUGUCCAACGUUAAUCGGGGCAGGGUGAGUCGACCCCUAAGGCGAGGCCGAAAGGCGUAGUCGAUGGGAAACGGGUUAAUAUUCCCGUACUUGGUGUUACUGCGAAGGGGGGACGGAGAAGGCUAUGUUGGCCGGGCGACGGUUGUCCCGGUUUAAGCGUGUAGGUGUGUGUUCCAGGUAAAUCCGGUUCACUUUAACACUGAGGCGUGACGACGAGGCACUACGGUGCUGAAGCAACAAAUGCCCUGCUUCCAGGAAAAGCCUCUAAGCAUCAGGUAACAUCAAAUCGUACCCCAAACCGACACAGGUGGUCAGGUAGAGAAUACCAAGGCGCUUGAGAGAACUCGGGUGAAGGAACUAGGCAAAAUGGUGCCGUAACUUCGGGAGAAGGCACGCUGACACGUAGGUGAAGUGAUUUACUCAUGGAGCUGAAGUCAGUCGAAGAUACCAGCUGGCUGCAACUGUUUAUUAAAAACACAGCACUGUGCAAACACGAAAGUGGACGUAUACGGUGUGACGCCUGCCCGGUGCCGGAAGGUUAAUUGAUGGGGUCAGCGCAAGCGAAGCUCCUGAUCGAAGCCCCGGUAAACGGCGGCCGUAACUAUAACGGUCCUAAGGUAGCGAAAUUCCUUGUCGGGUAAGUUCCGACCUGCACGAAUGGCGUAAUGAUGGGGCUGUCUCCACCCGAGACUCAGUGAAAUUGAACUCGCUGUGAAGAUGCAGUGUACCCGCGGCAAGACGGAAAGACCCCGUGAACCUUUACUAUAGCUUGACACUGAACAUUGAGCCUUGAUGUGUAGGAUAGGUGGGAGGCUUUGAAGCGUGGACGCCAGUCUGCGUGGAGCCGACCUUGAAAUACCACCCUUUAAUGUUUGAUGUUCUAACGUGGACCCGUAAUCCGGGUUGCGGACAGUGUCUGGUGGGUAGUUUGACUGGGGCGGUCUCCUCCUAAAGAGUAACGGAGGAGCACGAAGGUUGGCUAAUUCGGACAUCAGGAGGUUAGUGCAAUGGCAUAAGCCAGCUUGACUGCGAGCGUGACGGCGCGAGCAGGUGCGAAAGCAGGUCAUAGUGAUCCGGUGGUUCUGAAUGGAAGGGCCAUCGCUCAACGGAUAAAAGGUACUCCGGGGAUAACAGGCUGAUACCGCCCAAGAGUUCAUAUCGACGGCGGUGUUUGGCACCUCGAUGUCGGCUCAUCACAUCCCUGAAGUAGGUCCCAAGGGUAUGGCUGUUCGCCAUUUAAAGUGGUACGCGAGCUGGGUUUAGAACGUCGUGAGACAGUUCGGUCCCUAUCUGCCGUGGGCGCUGGAGAACUGAGGGGCUGCUCCUAGUACGAGAGGACCGGAGUGGACGCAUCACUGGUGUUCGGGUUGUCAUGCCAAUGGCACUGCCCGGUAGCUAAAUGCGGAAGAGAUAAGUGCUGAAAGCAUCUAAGCACGAAACUUGCCCCGAGAUGAGUUCUCCCUGAGACUUAAAGUCUCCUGAAGGAACGUUGAAGACGACGACGUUGAUAGGCCGGGUGUGUAAGCGCAGCGAUGCGUUGAGCUAACCGGUACUAAUGAACCGUGAGGCUUAACCUUACAACGCCGAAG
RNAcentral lists this ribosomal RNA (2790 nucleotides) under Salmonella enterica subsp. enterica serovar Adjame. RNAcentral describes it as "23S ribosomal RNA". It matches the Rfam family "Bacterial large subunit ribosomal RNA". The record is from RNAcentral. Lineage: Bacteria; Pseudomonadati; Pseudomonadota; Gammaproteobacteria; Enterobacterales; Enterobacteriaceae.